Molecule: microRNA precursor, 163 nt
Filed under: Medicago truncatula (barrel medic)
Lineage: Eukaryota; Viridiplantae; Streptophyta; Magnoliopsida; Fabales; Fabaceae
Description: MIR2619 microRNA precursor family
Rfam family: MIR2619 microRNA precursor family
Source: Rfam by way of RNAcentral
AAAUAGCCCCCUAUGUUUUAAUUCUUUGACAGUUUUGGACCCCAAGGCAAAAAAAAAAAUUGACACGUGGCACCUCACUUAGGGUGCCACGUCAGCGUUGACCGAGUCAACAAUGGACUGGAGGUCCAAAACUGCCAAAGAAUCAAAACAUAUGGGACUGUUU